UUGAACGCUGGCGGCAUGCUUUACACAUGCAAGUCGAACGGUAACAGGCCGCAAGGUGCUGACGAGUGGCGAACGGGUGAGUAAUGCAUCGGAACGUGCCCAGUCGUGGGGGAUAACUACUCGAAAGAGUAGCUAAUACCGCAUACGAUCUAUGGAUGAAAGCGGGGGACCGUAAGGCCUCGCGCGAUUGGAGCGGCCGAUGUCAGAUUAGGUAGUUGGUGGGGUAAAGGCUCACCAAGCCAACGAUCUGUAGCUGGUCUGAGAGGACGACCAGCCACACUGGGACUGAGACACGGCCCAGACUCCUACGGGAGGCAGUAGUGGGGAAUUUUGGACAAUGGGCGCAAGCCUGAUCCAGCAAUGCCGCGUGCAGGAAGAAGGCCUUCGGGUUGUAAACUGCUUUUGUACGGAACGAAACGGCUCUGGUUAAUACCCGGGGCUAAUGACGGUACCGUAAGAAUAAGCACCGGCUAACUACGUG
Molecule: ribosomal RNA, 481 nt
Filed under: uncultured bacterium
Lineage: Bacteria
Description: partial 16S ribosomal RNA
Rfam family: Bacterial small subunit ribosomal RNA
Source: RNAcentral